GAGCGUAUGGCUCAGUGGUAUAGUGCCUGCCUAGCAUGCACAAGGGCCGGGGUUCAAUCCCCAGUACUUCCA
This 72-nucleotide transfer RNA is filed under the name Camelus bactrianus (Bactrian camel). It matches the Rfam family "tRNA". From Rfam's summary of the family: Transfer RNA (tRNA) molecules are approximately 80 nucleotides in length. Their secondary structure includes four short double-helical elements and three loops (D, anti-codon, and T loops). Further hydrogen bonds mediate the characteristic L-shaped molecular structure. tRNAs have two regions of fundamental functional importance: the anti-codon, which is responsible for specific mRNA codon recognition, and the 3' end, to which the tRNAs corresponding amino acid is attached (by aminoacyl-tRNA synthetases). tRNAs cope with the degeneracy of the genetic code in two manners: having more than one tRNA (with a specific anti-codon) for a particular amino acid; and 'wobble' base-pairing, i.e. permitting non-standard base-pairing at the 3rd anti-codon position. Lineage: Eukaryota; Metazoa; Chordata; Mammalia; Artiodactyla; Camelidae. The record is from Rfam by way of RNAcentral. RNAcentral also lists the same sequence under 2 other names.